GGAAUUGUGGUUCAGUGGAAGAGCACUUGCCUAGUAUGUAUGAGGCACUGUGUUCAAUUCUCAGCACCA
This 69-nucleotide transfer RNA is filed under the name Ictidomys tridecemlineatus (thirteen-lined ground squirrel). RNAcentral describes it as "Spermophilus tridecemlineatus (thirteen-lined ground squirrel) tRNA". It matches the Rfam family "tRNA". Rfam says of the family: Transfer RNA (tRNA) molecules are approximately 80 nucleotides in length. Lineage: Eukaryota; Metazoa; Chordata; Mammalia; Rodentia; Sciuridae. The record is from Rfam by way of RNAcentral.